GGGUCAGUAGGUUGGUCGUGCCACCGGUACGUACUGGUCUCACUGAUUCCUCCUUCCCGAAGAACCGUAAUGCCAUUAAUUUGGUGUUGCGGGAAACAGGACUGUUACUUUGAAAAAAUUAGAGUGUUUAAAGCAAGCUAACGCUUGAAUACAUUAGCAUGGAAUAAUGAAAUAGGACGAUCGAUCCUAUUUUGUUGGUUUCUAGGAUUGACGUA
RNAcentral lists this ribosomal RNA (215 nucleotides) under Glomeromycotina sp. Its description in RNAcentral is "partial small subunit ribosomal RNA". The stretch from base 75 to 215 matches the Rfam family "Eukaryotic small subunit ribosomal RNA", at positions 722 to 864 of the family's 1831-position model. The record is from RNAcentral. Lineage: Eukaryota; Fungi; Glomeromycota.